UACGGAGGGUGCAAGCGUUAUCCGGAUUCACUGGGUUUAAAGGGAGCGUAGGUGGGUUGGUAAGUCAGAGGUGAAAUCUCCGAGCUUAACUCGGAAACUGCCUUUGAUACUAUCAGUCUUGAAUAUUGUGGAGGUUAGCGGAAUAUGUCAUGUAGCGGUGAAAUGCUUAGAUAUGACAUAGAACACCAAUUGCGAAGGCAGCUGGCUACACAUAUAUUGACACUGAGGCUCGAAAGCGUGGGGAUCAAACAGG
Molecule: ribosomal RNA, 253 nt
Filed under: uncultured bacterium
Lineage: Bacteria
Description: partial 16S ribosomal RNA
Rfam family: Bacterial small subunit ribosomal RNA
Source: RNAcentral